AGUUCAUCCCUGGGACGCUAUCGGGUUGUGAACCGAGCUGCCCUAUGAUGGACUAU
Molecule: microRNA precursor, 56 nt
Filed under: Heligmosomoides polygyrus
Lineage: Eukaryota; Metazoa; Nematoda; Chromadorea; Rhabditida; Heligmosomidae
Description: microRNA hpo-mir-1822 precursor
Source: miRBase by way of RNAcentral